AGAGAAAGCAAUAAAUAGUUUAUUUAAGGUUUUUUUAUUUCUCUCAGCUGUUAAUUUAAUUAAUACUAUAGUAGAGUCUCAUAGCUCAGCUGGUUAGAGCGCUACACUGAUAAUGUAGAGGUCGGCAGUUCGAGUCUGCCUGAGACUACUAAAUAGGAAAUUCUAGAGGUUGGGUAUCCAAGUUGGCGUAUAAGUCAUCAUUUAACUGAUAACUGUUAACUGAUAACUGACUGCUAAAAUUAAGGGGGAUUAGCUCAGCUGGCUAGAGCGCUUGCCUUGCACGCAAGAGGUCAUUGGUUCGACUCCGAUAUUCUCCACGAAUCAGAGUUAUCUGAUAGAAGUUCAUUGACAUAUUGAAAAGAUACAUGAAAUACAUAAAGACUAUGUUUAAAUACAUAGUUAAAAAUAAACUCAUUAAAAAGACAAAAGUAC
RNAcentral lists this transfer RNA (432 nucleotides) under uncultured Flavobacteriaceae bacterium. Its description in RNAcentral is "16S-23S ribosomal RNA intergenic spacer". The stretch from base 75 to 148 matches the Rfam family "tRNA". The record is from RNAcentral. Lineage: Bacteria; Pseudomonadati; Bacteroidota; Flavobacteriia; Flavobacteriales; Flavobacteriaceae.